GGAUACCUAGACUGAUGUUUUCGAUGAAGGACGUAGGAGCCUGCGAUAAGGUUCGGCGAGCUGGCAAACACGCUAUGACCCGGACAUUUCCGAAUGGGGAAACCCACACUGCUUGCAGUGUACUGUGCACCCAAAACCAUUAAGUGCAUGGAGAGAAGUCGGCGAACUGAAAUAUCUCAGUAGCCGGAGACAAGAAAUUAAUAAAGAUUCCCUUAGUAGUGACGAGCGAAGAGGGAGGAGCCCAAACCAACCUUCGGGUUGGGGUUGUAGGACCUCAAUAUCUUUUGUUUAUAUAUAGUAGAAAGCUUUGGAAAGAGCUACCACAGAGGGUGAUAGUCCCGUACAUGAAAUAUAUUUGCAACAGUAGAGUGUUCCUGAGUAGGUUCGGACACGUGUAAUCCGGAUUGAAUCUAGGUGGACCACCAUCUAAGGCUAAAUAGAACAUCAGAUCGAUAGUGAACUAGUACCGUGAGGGAAAGGUGAAAAGAACCCCGGGAAGGGGAGUGAAAUAGAUCUUGAAAUUAUAAACUUAUAAGGAGUGGGAGCCUUUCGGGGUGACCGCGUGCCUUUUGUAGAAUGAGCCAUCGAGUUAGCUGUAUGGGGUAUGAUUAAGGCAGUUUCAGCCGUAGUCGUAGCGAAAGCGAGUCUUAAAAGGCGCCUAUCUCAUGCACUAGACCCGAAACCAGGUGAGCUUACCAUGGGCAGGUUGAAGCGUCGGUAAAACGACGUGGAGGACCGAACCACCGAGUGCAGCAAAACUCUUGGAUGACCUGUGGUAAGAGCAGAAAUUGUCAUCGAACCUGGAAAUAGCUGGUUCUCUCCGAAAUAUAUUUAGGUAUAGCCUCUAGUUACUAGCAUGGGGGGUAGAGCACUGUUUGGGGAAGGGCGGGAAAUAACUGUACCAACUCCUAGCAAACUUUGAAUACCCAUGUGACUGUCUAGGGAGUCAGGCUGCGACAGCGAAGUGCCGUAGCCGCGAGGGAAAGAGCCCAGACCACCGUCUAAGGUCCCUAAUAUUAUCUCAGUGGUAAAGGAUGUAAGAUUGUUUAAACAGCCAGGAGGUUGGCUUAGAAGCAGCCACCCUUUAAAAAGUGCGUAAUAGCUUACUGGUCGAACGAUUUUGCGCCGAAAAUCUAACGGGGCUUAAGAUAAUAACCGAAGACGUGGGCGGUCAAUUUAUUGAUCGCGGUAGGAGAGCGUUGUGGGAGCACUGAAGCCGGCCUGUAAGGGUUCCGGUGGAGCGACCACAAGUGAGAAUGAUGGCAUAAGUAACUUUAAUGAGAUGAAAACUCUCAUCGCCGUACACCCAAGGUUUCCGAUCCCAUGGCAGUCAUGGUCGGGUUAGUCGGGCCUAAGGCGAGGCCGAAAGGCGUAGUCGAUGGACAACAGGUUAAUAUUCCUGUACCGCAAAUUUCAGUGAUGGCAGGACGCAUAUGGAAAAUCUAAUUCCUGUUAAUGAAUUCAGGGGCAAGCGUUUAGCUUAUGCUUUACCAGGCAAAUCCGGUAGAGUUCGUGAGACGUGAUGCGUAUAUGCUUUUCUUCGGAAAAGAUAAAUUAGUGAUUCGCGUGCCAAGAAAAUUGUCUAAACUUAUGAAAUUUGUGACCGUACCGCAAUCCAACACUGGUGGGUGGAUUGAGUAUAUUAAGGCGUUCGGGAUAACUGAGCUUAAGGAACUCGGCAUAAUAGCGUCCGUAACUUCGGGAUAAGGACUCCCUCUAUUUAUUUAGAGGGCGCAGCGAAAGAUGCCCUGCAACUGUUUAUCAAAAACACAGGUCCGUGCUAACUCGUAAGAGGAUGUAUACGGGCUGACCCCUGCCCAGUGCCAGAAGGUUAAGAGGAGAGGUUUACGCUUCGAAUUUAAGCCCUGGUGAACGGCGGCCGUAACUAUAACGGUCCUAAGGUAGCGAAAUUCCUUGUCGGGUAAAUUCCGACCCGCAUGAAUGGGGUAAUGAUGGGGCAACUGUCUCAAGCUCAGACCCGGUGAAAUUGCAGAAACGGUAAAAAUGCCGUUUACGCGCGGUAGGACGGAAAGACCCUAUGGAGCUUUACUCUAGCUUGACAUUGAGUCCUUUUAUAUUUUGUGCAGUAUAGGUGGGAGACUUUGAAGCAAAACGCCAGUUUUGUGGAGUCGCUCUGUGAGAUACCACCCUCAAUAUAAAAGGCCUCUUACCUUGGCCCUUAUCAGCCUUUGACGAGAUUUUCUCGAAAGUUGAUACGGGUCUGGGGACAUUGUUUGGUGGGGAGUUUGUCUGGGGCGGACGCCUCCUAAAAAGUAACGGAGGCGCGCAAUGGUAAGCUUAGGUCGGAUGGAAAUCGACCUGGACGUGUAUUCGCACAAGCUUGCCUGACUGUGAGACCUACAAGUCGAGCAGGGACGAAAGUCGGUGAAAAUGAUCCGGUGUCACCACGUGGGUGGGGCAUCGCUCAACGGAUAAAAGUUACCCUAGGGAUAACAGGCUAGUCAGACCCAAGAGUUCAUAUCGACGGUCUGGUUCGGCACCUCGAUGUCGGCUCAUCGCAUCCUGGGGGAGUAGCAUCUCCCAAGGGUAUGGCUGUUCGCCAUUUAAAGCGGUACGUGAGCUGGGUUCAGAACGUCGUGAGACAGUUCGGUCCCUAUCCUCCGUGCGCGAUUAGAAAUUUGAAGGAAGCUGCUCCUAGUACGAGAGGACCGGAGUGGACGAACCUCUAGUGUACCGGUUGUCGUGUCAACGGCAUCGCCGGGUAGCUAUGUUCGGAAGGGAUAACCGCUGAAAGCAUCUAAGCGGGAAGCCCCACCUAAGAUAAGAUUUCUUUUAAGAGUCCUGGGAGAUUACCAGGUUGAUAGGUCACAAGUGUAAGCCUAGUAAUGGGUUCAGCUGAGUGAUACUAAUUACUCGUUUAAACAUUUUUCAUUUGUAUUUUA
Molecule: ribosomal RNA, 2903 nt
Filed under: bacterium
Lineage: Bacteria
Also listed under: 1 other name
Description: 23S ribosomal RNA
Rfam family: Bacterial large subunit ribosomal RNA
Source: RNAcentral